RNAcentral lists this long non-coding RNA (550 nucleotides) under Vulpes vulpes (red fox). RNAcentral describes it as "lncRNA (ENSVVUG00000000132.1)". The record is from RNAcentral. Lineage: Eukaryota; Metazoa; Chordata; Mammalia; Carnivora; Canidae.
AAGAUGAUAGAAGUGAAGAGGGUUGGGGAGUGGGUGGGAAGAAAGAAAACAGAGACAGGAAGUUGAAACUUCAGGGAAAUAUGUAUAGGAAGGGAAUGGUAGCUGGAGGAAGAAAUAGGAAGGGAAGUUUUUGUCAAUUUAUUUAUUUUGAGGUGGGAAACAUGAGCACCUUUAACUAUUAAAGCUUCCUGUAAAGAAGCCGAAAAUACUGGAGUGAAGAAUCAGCAUUUCUGGAGCUGCCAAAAGAAGUGAGGCAUAACCAUUGGUGGAGGAACUGGCCAUUCUAGAAGGAAAACAUCCUGCACCGCCUAUGUCAGAAAAGGACCUGAAUCAUCCCAGGUUCAAGGAGACUUACAGGUGUCUGUGUGGAGAAGUUAAGGCAAACACGUUAAAGACCCCAAGUCAGCCGAAUUAAAGCUUCAGGAACAUAAGAACUUCUGUUGCAUGAAUGAAAGAAUGAAUGAAUAAUCAUCUUUCCAUUUCAUCCAGCCAAACGGGAAACUUCUCCAGAGAAACAACAGUUAAAAAAAAAAAAAAAAAGAAAAGCUUA